GGGGAAUUUUGGACAAUGGGCGCAAGCCUGAUCCAGCCAUGCCGCGUGAGUGAAGAAGGCCUGGUUGUAAAGCUCUUUCGGCCGGGAAGAAAUCGUGGUCUCUAACAUAGGCCAUGGAUGACGGUACCGGACUAAGAAGCACCGGCUAACUACGUGCC
RNAcentral lists this ribosomal RNA (158 nucleotides) under uncultured bacterium. RNAcentral's name for it is "partial 16S ribosomal RNA". It matches the Rfam family "Bacterial small subunit ribosomal RNA", at positions 356 to 509 of the family's 1533-position model. The record is from RNAcentral.